GUGGGGAAUAUUGGGCAAUGGGGGCAACCCUGACCCAGCGACGCCGCGUGAGGGAAGAAGGCCUUAGGGUCGUAAACCUCUGUUGUGUGGGAAGAAGGAAGUGACGGUACCACACGAGGAAGUCCCGGCUAACUACGUGCCAGCAGCCGCGGUAAUACGUAGGGGACGAGCGUUGUCCGGAAUUACUGGGCGUAAAGGGCGCGUAGGCGGUCAUUUAAGUCAGCUGUGAAAUGGUCCGGCUCAACCGGAUCAUGCGGUUGAAACUGGAUGACUGGAGGGAUGGAGAGGCAAGUGGAAUUCCCAGUGUAGCGGUGAAAUGCGUAGAUAUUGGGAAGAACACCGGUGGCGAAGGCGACUUGCUGGCCAGCAACUGACGCUGAGGCGCGAAAGCCAGGGGAGCAAACGGGAUUAGAUACCCUAGUAGUCC
This 427-nucleotide ribosomal RNA is filed under the name uncultured bacterium. RNAcentral describes it as "partial 16S ribosomal RNA". It matches the Rfam family "Bacterial small subunit ribosomal RNA", at positions 354 to 796 of the family's 1533-position model. The record is from RNAcentral.